Long non-coding RNA from Mustela erminea (ermine), 1584 nucleotides. RefSeq lists it as uncharacterized. The record is from RefSeq and is a predicted model, not a curated record. The transcript is spliced from 3 exons. NCBI's taxonomy places the organism in Eukaryota, Metazoa, Chordata, Mammalia, Carnivora, Mustelidae.
UUAUUAUCGCUGCUGGAUGGCGAUACUUCCUCUUUUUCUUUCUAGCAGCUUAGGCUGUACUCUAACUAUUACAAAGUCCAAACACCAGAUACAAGGAAAAGAGUGGUCAGGGAAUGUUCAGUUUUUCUUUUCUUACUGAGCCCACCUAUUAUGGAACCAUUAAAAUACUUACUAAGAGUAUGAAGUGAUAUGAAAUAAUGCGUAUGUUAGAUUUAAGAGGCAAAGUAUAAAUUCAUAAAUAGUAGAAUCAUAUUUUAAAGCACUCAAAUGAAGGAGGAGAAAAAGGACCAGAAGAAAUUACAACCUAUCACCUGUAUUUGGAUAAUAGCGUUAUGUUACUUUUUUCUUUUUGCUGUAUUUUCUAAUUUUUUCUGAAAAAAAUUAUGCUGUUUUUGCACUGGGAAAUAUUUAAAAGCAUUUCUAAGGAAACAGUCAAUCUUAUAAGGAUUUCUUUAUGAAGAUAGACAUCACAACAACACUGCUUCUAUUGAAGAGAAAUUGGCAUCCAACGAUAGGACACUUGCUCUUGGAACCCAACUGUCAUGCGGCAAGGAAGCCCAAACUAACCACAAGGAGAGGCCACACGUUGGUGUGACAGCUAACAGCUGUAGUUGAGAUCCCAAGUGACAGCAUGCAUCAACUUCCGGACUUGUGACAGCAUCAGCAUCACCUUCACAUUUUUUAGCCUCAGACUUUGAGUCUUCCCAGUGACACUCCAGACUCUGGGUGGCAGAGAUGCCAGCCCCACUGUGCCCCGUCUGAAUUCCUGACCCACAUAAUCAAAAUGUGCAUUAGUGAGCAAGCCAUGACGUCAUACUGCUGGAAUGCUGCAAUUAGCCCAACUCUUGCCUGCUGGUUAGAGAAAGUUUUCAUCUCAGAAGAAGGAGUCUCUCAGAAUCACUGUUCUUUUGUACGGUAUGACUGAGAUCCUACUGGAGGCUGCUACCACUCACCAAGCAACUCAGGCUCGGUUUACUCUACUUUUCAUAAUACGUGUGGGUUUGAGACUCCUCAUUUGUCUUCACUCACACAGUCUGAGAGAUGCAGAAAAAGUUUGCUGAAUAUUGAGUUUUGUCAAACAUAAAGGAUGAUAUUCUGCUUCAUUUUAUAAAUAAAAUAUGACAAUGCCUGGCAAGACUGACUGAACUUUUGUCUUGAUGACUCAGCCAAGGCUCAGGAUCCUCCACUCUUGUCAGCUGUCUGGUUUGAUUCUGCUGCCGCUGUCACUCCUGCCUGUGAAUCCAGUGACGCCUCUGGAACAGAACAUUAUUGGAUACUGAUUGACUACUUGGGUAAAAUAACAGCCUGAGGGGAAUUCUACUUCUGAAGGAAGGCAUGGCAGUGUCUGGCUUUGAAAUCUUCUCCAAAGGAUUCCUAAGGGAAUAGCUGUAAAUUUCUCACUUUCAGGAAUACUGAAAUGCUACUCCUUGGCCUAAGUUAGCCUUAUUGUAGACAGGAGUCAUUGACCUUCGAAUGAUAUCCGGGUGGGGUCUUGUUUCGAUGUUUUUAGCAACUUUGAAGAAAAAGAGAUCUUGGGUUUGGCUGUUAAGUCUAGAAAUAUUAAUUUCUGGGAGUAAAAUUACU